This 468-nucleotide ribosomal RNA is filed under the name uncultured bacterium. RNAcentral's name for it is "partial 16S ribosomal RNA". It matches the Rfam family "Bacterial small subunit ribosomal RNA", at positions 28 to 507 of the family's 1533-position model. The record is from RNAcentral.
GACGAACGCUGGCGGCGUGCUUAACACAUGCAAGUCGAACGGAAAGGCCCUGCUUUUGUGGGGUGCUCGAGUGGCGAACGGGUGAGUAACACGUGAGUAACCUGCCCUUGACUUUGGGAUAACUUCAGGAAACUGGGGCUAAUACCGGAUAGGAGCUCCUGCUGCAUGGUGGGGGUUGGAAAGUUUCGGCGGUUGGGGAUGGACUCGCGGCUUAUCAGCUUGUUGGUGGGGUAGUGGCUUACCAAGGCUUUGACGGGUAGCCGGCCUGAGAGGGUGACCGGCCCCAGUGGGGAUGAGAUACCGGCCAAGACCCGAAGGGGGGCAGAAGGGGGGGAAUUUGGCAAAUGGGGGGAAGCCCGAUGCCGGAAACCCGGGUGGGGGAUGACGGCCCUCGGGGUGUAAACCGCUUUCGCCUGGGAAGAAGCGGGGGUGACGGUAAUGGGUAAAAAAACCCCGGGUAAAUACGUG